Molecule: ribosomal RNA, 468 nt
Filed under: uncultured bacterium
Lineage: Bacteria
Description: partial 16S ribosomal RNA
Rfam family: Bacterial small subunit ribosomal RNA
Source: RNAcentral
GACGAACGCUGGCGGCGUGCUUAACACAUGCAAGUCGAACGGAAAGGCCCUGCUUUUGUGGGGUGCUCGAGUGGCGAACGGGUGAGUAACACGUGAGUAACCUGCCCUUGACUUUGGGAUAACUUCAGGAAACUGGGGCUGAUACCGGAUAGGAGCUCCUGCUGCAUGGUGGGGGUUGGAAAGUUUCGGCGGUUGGGGAUGGACUCGCGGCUUAUCAGCUUGUUGGUGGGGUAGUGGCUUACCAAGGCUUUGACGGGUAGCCGGCCUGAGAGGGUGACCGGCCACAUUGGGACUGAGAUACGGCCCAGACUCCUACGGGAGGCAGCAGUGGGGAAUAUUGCACAAUGGGCGGAAGCCUGAUGCAGCAACGCCGCGUGCGGGAUGACGGCCUUCGGGUUGUAAACCGCUUUCGCCUGUGACGAAGCGUGAGUGACGGUAAUGGGUAAAGAAUCACCGGCUAACUACGUG